UUUUCAGCAGCCGCGGUAAUACGGAGGGUCCAAGCGUUAUCCGGAAUCAUUGGGUUUAAAGGGUCCGUAGGCGGUUUAAUAAGUCAGUGGUGAAAGCCUAUCGCUUAACGAUAGAACGGCCAUUGAUACUGUUAGACUUGAAUUAGUGGGAAGUAACUAGAAUAUGUAGUGUAGCGGUGAAAUGCUUAGAUAUUACAUGGAAUACCAAUUGCGAAGGCAGGUUACUAUCACUAUAUUGACGCUGAUGGACGAAAGCGUGGGGAGCGAACAGGAUUAGAAACCCGUGUAGUCC
Molecule: ribosomal RNA, 292 nt
Filed under: uncultured bacterium
Lineage: Bacteria
Description: partial 16S ribosomal RNA
Rfam family: Bacterial small subunit ribosomal RNA
Source: RNAcentral